AGUUUGAUCAUGGCUCAGAUUGAACGCUGGCGGCAUGCCUUACACAUGCAAGUCGAACGGCAGCACGGGGGGUAACCCCUGGUGGCGAGUGGCGAACGGGUGAGUAAUAUAUCGGAACGUGCCCUGUAGCGGGGGAUAGCCCGGCGAAAGCCGGAUUAAUACCGCAUACGCUCUACGGAGGAAAGCGGGGGUCGCAAGACCUCGCACUAUAGGAGCGGCCGAUAUCGGAUUAGCUAGUUGGCGGGGUAAAAGCCCACCAAGGCGACGAUCCGUAGCUGGUCUGAGAGGAUGAUCAGCCACACUGGAACUGAGACACGGUCCAGACUCCUACGGGAGGCAGCAGUGGGGAAUUUUGGACAAUGGGCGCAAGCCUGAUCCAGCCAUGCCGCGUGAGUGAAGAAGGCCUUCGGGUUGUAAAGCUCUUUCGGCGGGAACGAAAUGGUUCGUGCUAAUACCACGGACUGAUGACGGUACCUGAAGAAGAAGCACCGGCUAACUACGUGCCAGCAGCCGCGGUAAUACGUAGGG
Molecule: ribosomal RNA, 528 nt
Filed under: uncultured bacterium
Lineage: Bacteria
Description: bacterial SSU rRNA
Rfam family: Bacterial small subunit ribosomal RNA
Source: RNAcentral